RNAcentral lists this ribosomal RNA (410 nucleotides) under uncultured microorganism. Its description in RNAcentral is "bacterial SSU rRNA". It matches the Rfam family "Bacterial small subunit ribosomal RNA", at positions 509 to 917 of the family's 1533-position model. The record is from RNAcentral.
CAGCAGCCGCGGUAAUACGUAGGGUGCGAGCGUUAAUCGGAUUUACUGGGCGUAAAGCGUGCGCAGGCGGCCCGUUAAGACAGGUGUGAAAUCCCUGGGCUCAACCUAGGAAUUGCGCUUGUGACUGGCGGGCUCGAGUACGGUAGAGGGGGGUGGGAUUCCUGGUGUAGCAGUGAAAUGCGUAGAGAUCAGGAGGAACACCGAUGGCGAAGGCAGCCCCCUGGGCCUGUACUGACGCUCAUGCACGAAAGCGUGGGGAGCAAACAGGAUUAGAUACCCUGGUAGUCCACGCCCUAAACGAUGGGUACUAGCCGUUUGGUGCGCGAUAGCGCUGAGUGGCGAAGCUAACGCGUGAAGUACCCCGCCUGGGGAGUACGGCCGCAAGGUUGAAACUUAAAGGAAUUGGCGGG